ACGCUGGCGGCAUGCCUUACACAUGCAAGUCGAACGGCAGCACGGGAGCAAUCCUGGUGGCGAGUGGCGAACGGGUGAGUAAUGUAUCGGAACGUACCUUUCAGUGGGGGAUAACGUAGCGAAAGUUACGCUAAUACCGCAUAUUCUGUGAGCAGGAAAGCAGGGGAUCGCAAGACCUUGCGCUGAUUGAGCGGCCGAUAUCAGAUUAGCUAGUUGGUGAGGUAAAGGCUCACCAAGGCGACGAUCUGUAGCGGGUCUGAGAGGACGACCAGCCACACUGGAACUGAGACACGGUCCAGACUCCUACGGGAGGCAGCAGUGGGGAAUUUUGGACAAUGGGCGCAAGCCUGAUCCAGCAAUGCCGCGUGCAGGAUGAAGGCCUUCGGGUUGUAAACUGCUUUUGUACGGAGCGAAACGGCUCUUUCUAAUAAAGAGGGCUAAUGACGGUACCGUAAGAAUAAGCACCGGCUAACUACGUGCCAGCAGCCGCGGUAAUACGUAGGGUGCGAGCGUUAAUCGGAAUUACUGGGCGUAAAGCGUGCGCAGGCGGUUAUAUAAGACAGAUGUGAAAUCCCCGGGCUCAACCUGGGCACUGCAUUUGUGACUGUAUAGCUAGAGUACGGUAGAGGGGGAUGGAAUUCCGCGUGUAGCAGUGAAAUGCGUAGAUAUGCGGAGGAACACCGAUGGCGAAGGCAAUCCCCUGGACCUGUACUGACGCUCAUGCACGAAAGCGUGGGGAGCAAACAGGAUUAGAUACCCUGGUAGUCCACGCCCUAAACGAUGUCAACUGGUUGUUGGGUCUUUGCUGACUCAGUAACGAAGCUAACGCGUGAAGUUGACCGCCUGGGGAGUACGGCCGCAAGGUUGAAACCCAAAGGAAUUGACGGGGACCCGCACAAGCGGUGGAUGAUGUGGUUUAAUUCGAUGCAACGCGAAAAACCUUACCCACCUUUGACAUGUACGGAAUCCUUUAGAGAUAGAGGAGUGCUCGAAAGAGAGCUGUAACACAGGUGCUGCAUGGCUGUCGUCAGCUCGUGUCGUGAGAUGUUGGGUUAAGUCCCGCAACGAGCGCAACCCUUGUCAUUAGUUGCUACAUUUAGUUGGGCACUCUAAUGAGACUGCCGGUGACAAACCGGAGGAAGGUGGGGAUGACGUCAAGUCCUCAUGGCCCUUAUGGGUAGGGCUUCACACGUCAUACAAUGGUCGGUACAAAGGGUUGCCAACCCGCGAGGGGGAGCUAAUCCCAGAAAGCCGAUCGUAGUCCGGAUCGUAGGCUGCAACUCGCCUGCGUGAAGUCGGAAUCGCUAGUAAUCGUGGAUCAGCAUGUCACGGUGAAUACGUUCCCGGGUCUUGUACACACCGCCCGUCACACCAUGGGAGCGGGUUCCGCCAGAAGUAGGUAGCCUAACCGCAAGGAGGGCGCUUACCACGGCGGGGUUCGUGACUGGGGUG
This 1452-nucleotide ribosomal RNA is filed under the name uncultured beta proteobacterium. RNAcentral describes it as "bacterial SSU rRNA". It matches the Rfam family "Bacterial small subunit ribosomal RNA". The record is from RNAcentral. Lineage: Bacteria; Pseudomonadati; Pseudomonadota; Betaproteobacteria.